AGCAGCUGUCAGCUCGUUACUGAUGACAUGGAGUGGGGGCAGCUGAGAUAAAUCAGCUCCAUUUAGCCCUUUCCAGCAGCUGAAGCCGGGCCUCCAAACCCAAACCUGGGGCCCUGCAGCUGAAAUCUGGUGCUGAAGGAACACUGAAGCCUUUGGAAAGUGGUUCAGGGGGAGAAGGCGGCCCUUUAAUAACGUGAAGCACACGCCGUGUUCUAACCAGCGCACCGUAAAGGAGCUCAGCCAGAGCGGGGCAAUGGUCUGUGCAUCUCCAUCUGCUGCUGGGACACCGCUUGUUUAGAGAACUGCUUAAUCCAGACUGGAAAAUUGAAAGUGGUUCUCCAUCUUCCCGUUUUGCCGAGAGAGACCAGCAGAAAAAUAAGAAGCGGAUUACUAAGGAUUUAUUAACAUCUCAAAUCCAGCUCCUCUGGUUUUCUGAAGAGCUGAGUGAACCCGUCAGAGUGUAUGGAACUGGUGCUCUUCCUUUCUGCUCCUUUUUAAGAUGCGAUGCUCAGCCCCAAACAGAUGGGAACCUGUCAGCACAGCACGGGGAUAAUUACCCCUUGGAGCCACGGGAAGCUUCGUAACGGGUCUGGAGGCUGGCGGAGUGAAAAAUCCUGCUGCAGCAAAGCGGAGUAGUGGAUCUAACCCUCAUGAGCAGGCACCAGGAAG
Calidris pugnax (ruff) is the source of this 669-nucleotide long non-coding RNA. RefSeq lists it as uncharacterized. The transcript has 4 exons. NCBI's taxonomy places the organism in Eukaryota, Metazoa, Chordata, Aves, Charadriiformes, Scolopacidae. The record is from RefSeq and is a predicted model, not a curated record.